GAUCAGCCACACUGGCACUGGAACACGGGCCAGACUCCUACGGGAGGCAGCAGUGAGGAAUAUUGGGCAAUGGGCGAAAGCCUGACCCAGCCACGCGCGUGUGAUGAAGGCCUUCGUGUCGUAAAGCACUGUGGGGAGAGACGAAAAAGCGCAUCAGGAAAUGGUUGCGCCUUGACGGUACCUCCUUAGCAAGCACCGGCUAACUCUGUGCCAGCAGCCGCGGUAAUACAGAGGGUGCGAACGUUGCUCGGAUUUACUGGGCGUAAAGCGCGUGUAGGCGGACUCGCAAGUCGGUUGUGAAAUCCCUGGGCUCAACCUAGGAACUGCAUCCGAAGCUGCUUGUCUUGAGUAAUGGAGAGGGUGGCGGAAUUCCCGGUGUAGAGGUGAAAUUCGUAGAUAUCGGGAGGAACAUCAGUGGCGAAGGCGGCCACCUGGACAUUUACUGACGCUGAGACGCGAAAGCGUGGGGAGCAAACGGGAUUAGAUACCCUGGUAGUCCACGCCGUAAACGAUGAGAACUAGGUGCAGCGGAUAUUGACCUCUGCUGUGCCGUAGCUAACGCGUUAAGUUCUCCGCCUGGGGAGUACGGCCGCAAGGCUAAAACUCAAAGGAAUUGACGGGGGCCCGCACAAGCAGUGGAGCAUGUGGUUUAAUUCGAAGCAACUCGCAGAACCUUACCAGGGCUAGACAAACUAAGAAUCCUGAAGAAACUCGGGAGUGCUCGCAAGAGAACUUAGGUCCAGGUGCUGCAUGGCUGUCGUCAGCUCGUGUCGUGAGAUGUUGGGUUAAGUCCCGCAACGAGCGCAACCCUUAUCCUUAGUUGCCAUCAUUUAGUUGGGCACUCAAAGGAGACUGCCGGGGUCAACCCGGAGGAAGGUGGGGAUGACGUCAAGUCCUCAUGGCCCUUAUGUCCUGGGCUACACACGUGCUACAAUGGUCGGUACAAAGCGCUGCGAAGCCGCAAGGUGGAGCGAAUCGCAAAAAGCCGGCCUCAGUACGGAUUGCACUCUGCAACUCGAGUGCAUGAAGUCGGAAUUGCUAGUAAUCGUCGAUCAGCAGGCGACGGUGAAUACGUUCCCGGGCCUUGUACACACCGCCCGUCACACCAUGGGAGUCGAGUGCUCCAGAAGUGGCCACGCUAACCCGCAAGGGAGGCAGGUCCCCAAGGAGUGUUUGGUAACUGGGGUGAAGUCGUAACAAGGUA
This 1204-nucleotide ribosomal RNA is filed under the name metagenome. RNAcentral's name for it is "bacterial SSU rRNA". It matches the Rfam family "Bacterial small subunit ribosomal RNA", at positions 302 to 1498 of the family's 1533-position model. The record is from RNAcentral.